GGUUAAGUUAUUAAGGGCGCAUGGUGAAUGCCUUGGUACUAGGAGCCGAUGAAGGAUGGAACUAACACCGAUAUGCUUCGGGGAGCUGUACGUAAGCUUUGAUCCGGAGAUUUCCGAAUGGGGAAACCCAAUCAUCUUAGUCGAUGAUUGCUCGACAGUGAAUUCAUAGCUGUCGUGCGGUAAACGCGGGGAACUGAAACAUCUAAGUACCCGCAGGAGUAGAAAAAAAUUUCGAUUCCCUAAGUAGCGGCGAGCGAACGGGGAACAGCCCAAACCGACCAGUUUACUGGUCGGGGUUGUAGGACUGAACAUUUGAGUUACAAAAGAAUCUGAUAGUCGAAUCAGUUGGGAAGCUGAGCCAUAGAUGGUGAUAGCCCAGUAGACGAAAUCAGAUUCCCUCAGUUCAGGAUCCUGAGUACGGCGACACACGUGAAAUGUCGUCGGAAGCCGGGAGGACCAUCUCCCAAGGCUAAAUACUACCAGUACG
This 487-nucleotide ribosomal RNA is filed under the name Fructilactobacillus fructivorans. RNAcentral describes it as "bacterial LSU rRNA". It matches the Rfam family "Bacterial large subunit ribosomal RNA", at positions 1 to 484 of the family's 2925-position model. Lineage: Bacteria; Bacillati; Bacillota; Bacilli; Lactobacillales; Lactobacillaceae. The record is from RNAcentral.